RNAcentral lists this unclassified non-coding RNA (302 nucleotides) under Hevea brasiliensis (rubber tree). The record is from RNAcentral. Lineage: Eukaryota; Viridiplantae; Streptophyta; Magnoliopsida; Malpighiales; Euphorbiaceae.
UCCCGGGAAAAUAAGAAGCCGCUAAUUUUUUAGGUAAAGAAAGUGUUUUGAAGCUUGGGGAUGAGAAAUUUUGGCAUAAACUGAACAAGGAAACGUCGCGGGACAGAUGAAAAUGAAAUGGGUUUGCUCUUGACGGUAAAAUUCUGGUAGAGGAAGAGAACCGUAUGGCUUCAGCCAUGUUUUCUUGACAAGAAAAGGGUGAAGAAGAAAUGCAGGUGAUGAACUGAACAAAUAGGGAAGUUAGUUAAACCCCAGAAGCAGCCAAAAUUCGUUGUGAAGUGGAUCCAAAAGAUAUCUAGCUG